This 509-nucleotide small RNA is filed under the name Rattus norvegicus (Norway rat). Its description in RNAcentral is "uncharacterized LOC102556461". The record is from RNAcentral. Lineage: Eukaryota; Metazoa; Chordata; Mammalia; Rodentia; Muridae.
UGUCCAGCUGCCCCAAGGACACUUUCACUGCGCACGGUGCCCGGAGGUAUGUGUAAGCUGGUGCUGGUGGAGAUCAGAAGAGGAGGCCGAUUCCUCGGGAAUGGCUAUACAUAGUUGUGAGCUACCCUGUGGGUCUUCAGCAAGAACAAGUGCUCUUAACCCCCAAGCCACCUCUCUGGUUCUCAGUCACAAGGCUGGAAUUUAACGUUAAAGAAAACUUGGAGAUUUACUAUGGCACAUGGAUUUGCCUUUUACAGACUCCUGGGAGAAGCAGGUGCUGACCAUGAGGAAAUGGAUAGUCAUGCCCUUGGAACUUUUGAAAACCUUUCUUCAAAUGGCGUCACAUGGAUACAAUUCUCAUAAAAGCUGUAUGGCCAAUGGUCAAAUAAGGAAACAAUAGAAACAUGCUGGGAAGGUCCAACUUUGCUCACCCUGCUGACAGACCCACCUGUGCAGCACUCUUGGAAAUGCUUUAUCCUCUGAUUUUAGAACUAACUUCCUUCCUUCCU